AUUGAACGCUGGCGGCAGGCCUAACACAUGCAAGUCGAGCGGACGAACGGAGCUUGUUCCUGGAUUCAGCGGCGGACGGGCGAGUAAUGCACAGGAAUCUGCCUGGUAGUGGGGGAUAACGUCCGGAAACGGGCGCUAAUACCGCAUACGACCAGAUGGUGAAAGUGGGGGAUCUUUGGACCUCACGCUAUCAGAUGAGCCUAGGCCGGAUUAGCUAGUUGGUGGGGUAAAGGCCUACCAAGGCGACGAUCCGUAACUGAUCUGAGAGGAUGAUCAGUCACACUGGAACUGAGACACGGUCCAGACUCCUACGGGAGGCAGCAGUAGGGAAUAUUCGGCAAUGGGCGAAAGCCUGAUCCAGCCAUGCCGCGUGUGUGAAGAAGGUCUUCGGAUUGUAAAGCACUUUAAGUUGGGAGGAAGGGCAGUAAGUUAAUACCUUGCUGUUUUGACGUUACCAACAGAAUAAGCACCGGCUAACUUCGUG
RNAcentral lists this ribosomal RNA (484 nucleotides) under uncultured bacterium. RNAcentral describes it as "partial 16S ribosomal RNA". It matches the Rfam family "Bacterial small subunit ribosomal RNA", at positions 30 to 507 of the family's 1533-position model. The record is from RNAcentral.